This 72-nucleotide transfer RNA is filed under the name Camelus bactrianus (Bactrian camel). It matches the Rfam family "tRNA". Rfam says of the family: Transfer RNA (tRNA) molecules are approximately 80 nucleotides in length. Lineage: Eukaryota; Metazoa; Chordata; Mammalia; Artiodactyla; Camelidae. RNAcentral also lists the same sequence under 2 other names. The record is from Rfam by way of RNAcentral.
GAGGGUAUAGCUUUGUGGUAGAGCACAUGCUUAGCAUGCAUGAGGUCCUGGGUUCAAUCCCCAGUGCCUCCA